AGAGGGAUAGCUGGGUCAAAUGGUGGGUUCAUUCCAAGUUUUCCAAGGAGUCUUCAUGCUGCUUUCCAUAUUGGCUGCACCAAUUUGCAGUCCCACCAGCAAU
Molecule: microRNA precursor, 103 nt
Filed under: Marmota monax (woodchuck)
Lineage: Eukaryota; Metazoa; Chordata; Mammalia; Rodentia; Sciuridae
Source: RNAcentral